This 1356-nucleotide long non-coding RNA is filed under the name Sinocyclocheilus anshuiensis. RNAcentral's name for it is "lncRNA (ENSSANG00000000346.1)". The record is from RNAcentral. Lineage: Eukaryota; Metazoa; Chordata; Actinopteri; Cypriniformes; Cyprinidae.
GGGGACUCGGGGAAAUGUGGAGGCAGAACCAGAACAGAAACAGAACAUAACCAUGACAGUUUGAUUUUGCUAACAUUUAGUUUAACCAUUGGCAUAUAAUCUAACAACGAUUGCUAAAGUCAACAUUUUACUAACAGAUCUACUAAUCUCUGUGUAAAAGUAACAUAAUGAUGCUGCAAUCUUUCUGAAGUCAUUUUUAAUCUCCUGUAAUUGGGCUCAGAAUCUCAGGAUAAAAUUGUCAUUUUGACCCCCUCUACAAAAUAUUGGAUUACUCCGUUUCUCUUCUUGGCACAUAGCUGUGUUAUUUUUCUGUUUUGCUGCUGGAUUUGGAGCUGUGCUUCUGCUCUGCUGUCUGAUCUACUGCAGAUCAAAUAACACUGGUGUGUUUGGAAGAGAAUUGUUCUCACCUGUGGUACUUAACUCUGUAUGUGUAUCUGUAAGUGUCUCAAGUGGAUUGUUUUACAUCUUCCAGUCACCAGCAGAACAAUCAGGAAUCUUCAGCAUUCUCUGGUCUUUUAUCCAAACAUCUGUAUGUUCUUUGCCUUUAUCUUCUGGGGUCUUACUGAAGACAACCUUAAAACAUGGAUCAAGUUUUCAAGUAGAAAAAGAGAAUUAGCUGUUUUCACAGUCGUUGUUUAUUCAGUGUUUUUGAUAGAUGCCUGGAUAAAGGCUGCAAAUAAGAACUCUGCAUGGCACAUAAUUUUUGGAAUGUUCUAUGGAUGUGUUGUGCUGUUCUCUUUCAUUUUGAGUAGAGCUUUUCUAGCUGCGCCAGUGGUUCAGGCAAUACUGCUUAUGUGUAUGCGAACUAGCUUCUGGAAAUUAGUGAUAACAUUAUAUAUCAUCCUAGUGGUCUAUGUUCAUGUAUGCAUAUUUGGAAGAGAGAAAGAAUACUUGCAGUGGACCUUUAUGGUUGUAUUUCUUGAAGUUCUGAGGAUUAUGGUGGCCUUUGAAGACCGAGAUUAUGUUAUUGAGGCAGAACAUUCAGAAGCACAGAGACAACAACAACAGACCGAGACGAGCCAACAAGGAUCAAAUACAUUGUCUCUUUGUCAUAAAAUCAUGUUCAUGUUUGGAGCAGUUGGUCUUGUUUUGUUGAACUCUGGUUCACUGACAGCAGAACUGAUCCUGAAAGCACGAAAUGGUGAGCAUGUCGUGAAGGAUCUGAGAGUCAUAGUGUUUCUCUCUGAAUGUGUUUUUGUCUUAUAUUGGAUGAUUUUACAAAUAUGUGCUUUCUGUAAGUAUCUUCUAACAUAUUUUUAAAAGAGACUCAGUUGAUUAAAUCAAUCUGACUGUCAAAUGUAUGACUCGAUGAAUAUUAACAUCAUAAAUAAUGAGCCAGACUCAUGUAUUUUGGUG